This 1999-nucleotide long non-coding RNA is filed under the name Marmota monax (woodchuck). The record is from RNAcentral. Lineage: Eukaryota; Metazoa; Chordata; Mammalia; Rodentia; Sciuridae.
CUCAGUGAGUCACGAGGUUUAGGUGGGGAGGUGGCAGGAAGGGCACAAGGAGGUGCAAGCUGAGGCUAAAGUAGGUUCUGUCUGCUGUCCUAACUCAAGCCAGAGAUAGCUGUGGAGGUAGGUUUGGGUGAAGGAGGCUGGAGUGAAGAGGGAUCUGAUUAUAUACGUCCCAUGUGGUUAAUCUUUGUUUGGCCUGCAGAGGCUUGCUAGUAGGCAGUUUUGCCCUGGGACAGCAGCUGACCGUCUCCCCAGGCAGCAUAUCUCAGUUGGAUGGACUGACUCCUGCCAGCAUUGGUCCUCAGGAGACCUUCUCUACACCCUUCCCUUCAUUGGUGGCUCAGCUAGAUGCCUCCUAUAGCUCUGUCCACAGUCUAAUGAUCUUAUCAUCCCAAAGCUGAACUGAACUCUGCCUCCUCAGAAGGUCCACAUUGCUGCUGACCUGAAGCUGUCUUCAGCACAAAAAUGGGACAUUGGGAGUGAGGCUGAGUGCCUUGUGGGCAAAUAAGAAGUUUGAUUGCAACAGAUGGAUUUAUUUUGGGGUUCGUGGGAUGCCUGAGCUGAUAAGUGGAGAUUCUUCCACCCAGGUACUGCUGAGCCUACUGUGUGGUGCGUGGAGCUGGCCCAGAGCAAGGCUUUUCUGUAUGAGAUCCGAGUUCUUAGGUUAUGAGCACAGUCUGCCCACAGUCCUCACUGGCUCACCCCACCAUCCUGUUCCAGCCUCACAUUUCACCUCAGCCCUGUUCAGUCAUUUCUUCCCUCUCUCCCUCCCUCCUUCCCUCUAGGCAGGGCCAGCUACCUCUGCUGACUACAGGGGCAUAGGCCCUUGCCUGGCUUCUGCACCUCUGCCUCCUAGGAGUGUCCAGGUGGGCUUGCACACUACAGGACUUGUGUGCCUGGGCAGAUUCUCUGAUUCCUCUCCUUUUAUAAAGGAGAAAGGACUCAGUAAGAGAGGAGGGUGAGGAAGGAAGAGUAGGAAUCACGUGAAGGUGAAGUAGGAAGGAACUAGGUUGAAAGGACACCAAUCACAGAACUGAAGGCAUCAGGAGGUUGAUUAUCUGUGGGCUUCAUGGUCUGGGAGUGGCUUGUGGGGCCCGGUGAGGCUGGUCUGAAUGAGAAGCUGUCCUUGGAAGGAGAAUUCUGUUGCUGGUUGGAGCGCUUUUGGAGUCUGAGGGACUAUGAAGGAUUCAUUUGCAAGAAGGCUAGGAGAGGACCAAACUCAUUCUCUUUCCUUCCACUCUGGAGCUCCUAACAGGCCCUCCUGCUGACUCUUCUGUUCCUCUGUCCCUUAAAACCAGGAGUGAACCUCCAGGUGAUAACUCACUUUCCACCUUAAUCAGUCAUCAGAUUCUCCAGGGCCUUUGUCCCCACUCCUCACCUUACCCCAGUCCCUGCUCCAGGGCUGCCCUGCUGUAAUAGUGUCAUGCUGGAUUAAUCUUUCGGCAGUAUUACUUGACUUCACCAAUUGCUCCUAAACCUUCAGGUGUACUACAGGCUGCUUUCGAUGAGGGCCUUUCCCAAUCUGGGCCUAGCCUGCCCUGCCUUUCUUGUCUUUAACUCCCAGGACGACUCAGUUCAUAUCUGUCUCCUACUUUGAUCAAACUAGACCACCUAUCACUCCUUGAAAACACUUUUCCCACCUCUUCACUUUUUGUAUGCUUCUCUCUAUAGCUGAUUCAGCAUUGAUCUCUCCAUCCAAAAAGUAUUUAUAGGACACUUCUUUUUUUUUUUUUUUUUUUUGAGGAAUUUCUGAUCUACAGAGAGGUUCAAAGACUAGUCCUGUGAAACUUAUACCCUACAUGUUGUUGUUAUUGCACAUUUCUUUCUUUUCUCUUUUUCUGGACCCACUGAAAGUGAGUUACAAGCAUUAAGACACUUCCUUCCUAAAUAUUUUGACCCAUAUCUCCUAGUAAUAAGAACAUUGUCCUACCUACCCAGAAUAUCCUUUUAAAAUAAAGAGAAUUCUGGUAAAAUAAACAUAAUACAAAAUCUACAGUUUUGC